Molecule: long non-coding RNA, 621 nt
Organism: Octopus sinensis (East Asian common octopus)
Lineage: Eukaryota; Metazoa; Mollusca; Cephalopoda; Octopoda; Octopodidae
Exons: 3
Source: RefSeq, a predicted model, not a curated record
UUGUUAAUCACAAUAAAAACUAUUUGGUAACUGAUAACAAUAAACUAAAAGUGAAACUAAAGUUUACCCAGAAACUCAAAUCAAUAAACUUUAUAAGACUGACUUCCUCUGCUUCACAGAAAGAACUUUAUAUUACUCAAGAGAUACAGAAAUUUCCUAAAGCAUUAAAAUGCCAUGGUUUUGGAUUGUGUAUGGAGUUUCAGUUGCUAUAGCAAUAUAUACUGUAGUAGCUGCAAAUCAACGGCAACCGAAUUCAUAUAAGCCACCGAAACCGAAUUCAAAUAAGCCACCGAAACCGAAUUCAUAUAAGCCGAAAUCGGAUCACCCACCGGGACCGGAUAACCCACAGGAUCCGUAUGGCCCAGAGAAAUUGUCUAUGCUACAGGAGUUUUCUGAGCAAAAAACUUAUGACAUGUUUAAUGAGAAAAAUGUCAGUGGAGGGGCAUAUAUGGAAAAGAAUAGGAAGAGCUUCACUACCCGUAGAACUGAAAGAAAUGAAUUCAUUCAAAGAUGAAGGAAUGUAAAUGGUGCAAGUGGAUCCUCUGUCAGCAUACGAGAGUAGAUCAAAUCCAUUAUAUCUACAACAGACUCUUUAAAAUUUAGGACAGAAAUGAAGAGCAA